AUUGAACGCUGGCGGCAUGCCUUACACAUGCAAGUCGAACGGCAGCACGGGAGCAAUCCUGGUGGCGAGUGGCGAACGGGUGAGUGAUAUAUCGGAACGUGCCCAGUCGUGGGGGAUAACGUAGCGAAAGCUACGCUAAUACCGCAUACGAUCUAUGGAUGAAAGCGGGGGAUCGCAAGACCUCGCGCGAUUGGAGCGGCCGAUAUCAGAUUAGGUAGUUGGUGAGGUAAAGGCUCACCAAGCCGACGAUCUGUAGCUGGUCUGAGAGGACGACCAGCCACACUGGGACUGAGACACGGCCCAGACUCCUACGGGAGGCAGCAGUGGGGAAUUUUGGACAAUGGGCGCAAGCCUGAUCCAGCAAUGCCGCGUGCAGGAUGAAGGCCUCGGUUGUAAC
RNAcentral lists this ribosomal RNA (397 nucleotides) under uncultured bacterium. Its description in RNAcentral is "bacterial SSU rRNA". It matches the Rfam family "Bacterial small subunit ribosomal RNA", at positions 30 to 429 of the family's 1533-position model. The record is from RNAcentral.